UCCUACGGGAGGCAGCAGUGGGGAAUAUUGCACAAUGGGCGAAAGCCUGAUGCAGCGACGCCGCGUGCGGGAAGAAGGCCUUCGGGUUGUAAACCGCUUUCAAUUGGGAAGAAGAGAUGAGCGCUAAUAUCGCUCUGAUUUGACGGUACCUUUAGAAGAAGCACCGGCUAAUUUCGUGCCAGCAGCCGCGGUAAUACGAAAGGUGCAAGCGUUGUUCGGAUUUACUGGGCGUAAAGAGAUCGUAGGUGGUUUGUUAAGUCGGAUGUGAAAUCCCAAGGCUCAACCUUGGAACUGCAUUCGAUACUGGCAGGCUAGAGUUUGGGAGGGGUAAGCGGAAUUCCGUGUGUAGCAGUGAAAUGCGUAGAUAUACGGAGGAACACCUGAGGCGAAGGCGGCUUACUGGACCAAUACUGACACUGAGGAUCGAAAGCGUGGGUAGCAAACAGGAUUAGAUACCCUGGUAGUCCACGCCCUAAACGAUGUCAACUAGCCGUAGCGGGUAUCGACCCCUGCUGUGGCGAAGCUAACGCGAUAAGUUGACCGCCUGGGGAGUACGGUCGCAAGAUUAAAACUCAAAGGAAUUGACGG
This 588-nucleotide ribosomal RNA is filed under the name Zetaproteobacteria bacterium S1. RNAcentral describes it as "bacterial SSU rRNA". It matches the Rfam family "Bacterial small subunit ribosomal RNA", at positions 337 to 916 of the family's 1533-position model. The record is from RNAcentral. Lineage: Bacteria; Pseudomonadati; Pseudomonadota; Candidatius Mariprofundia.